UUUCAGUUUGUUGCUUGUUUGUUUUUCUCAUUGCUGAUGUUUUCCUCUUACACAGGAGAAGAAGAUUUCACGACAUGAAUUGAUACAAAGAGUGAGACGAAUAGUUGGAGAUAAGUUGUUGGGUGCAGCCAUCAAAUCUUAUAGAGACAAUAAGGUACGGUGAUUCUCUUUUUUAUAUCUUUUGGAAACAUUGUGACAUAACUUCAUCAAUUUGGUUCAAAUUAAUUCAAUAUAAUUUUCUUUCCUUGAAAUACAGUUCAUUGACUUGAUUUUUUUUAUUAAUAAAUAUUAAUUAUUAGUAUUGAUAAUUUUUGUUAAUAAAUAAUUCGAGUCUAUGAUUUUUUUUUUCUCCUAUUACCAUUAGAUUAAUUUUAUAUCUCCCUAUGCAUUACAAUUUGAUGGUUGAGAAAUCAUUAUCAUUUGCAAUUAGAGUUUUCUUUCCCCUUUCAUGAUGUGCAUAUUCUUUAUACUAGUUAUUCUGAAAUAACUGGGUACUCCUUUUCAAUUUCACCUAUCAAUGUAUUGAGAAGAUUAAAAAAAUAGGAAUAAAAGAGCAACUGGAAAUAUGAAGUUUUAUCCAGAUCUAAUAUGGGUGUAAAGCAUACGGCUAAUUGUUUUUGGUGCUUCUGGAUUAUUUAUUCUGGAAAUUCUGGAAAUUCCGGAAGUGGAAUUAGUUUGAGUGUGCAACAUAGAUCUCAUAACUAUAAGUAGUAUUAUUAGUUUGAGUGGUUGGAACAUUAUUGUCAAAGAAAAAGUAGGUACCAAGAAAAUAUUAUUUUACCUACGCCCCCAACCCUAUGGGAGAUGACAGAAGUGGGAACUGAAUUUAAGAAUUAAAAAACUCUAGAGAUCGUCAUUGCUGUCUCAAUUGUUGUAUUCGUGUGUUUCCUUUCCUUUCCAAUAUGGGAAUUUGGCUUUGUAUUCUUUGUUCGUUGUUACCUAACCUAGUAUAUUUGUUUGUCUUUCACAGAAGAAACCAAGCUUUCUAAAAUCAAGGUCAAAGAAUGGCUUAGCGACGCGGAUAGAAUAAUUUCCUUCACGUGAGUUCUUUUUCUUGGGUUGACACAAUGCAUUACUAAACUUCAUAACCAAACUUACAAGGAGGACACAUAAACUGCUUUAAAAGCACUGUGACAUAUUUGACUCAACCUUUUUUUUUAAUUUGUAUUUUUUUAUGAGGUUGAUAUAGCAUAGGAGAAGGAAUCUUUUCUUUUCUUUUUCUUUAUGGUUGUCACUUGCCAGUGGGAAUGAUGUCCUCCAUGAAUAAGGAUAUGCUAUCAUGGACACAUUGACCCACUCCAAUGGACUGUCCUUAAAAUUGUACAUAGUAAUUUUGUUGUUUCUUCUUUUUCUCUUGAGAUAGAUAUAUUAUUUCAUCAUUACCACAUGUAUUAAAUUAGUUACCCAAUCUAAUUAGUGGC
This 1421-nucleotide long non-coding RNA is filed under the name Glycine max (soybean). Its description in RNAcentral is "long non-coding RNA (GMAX_LNC001244)". The record is from RNAcentral. Lineage: Eukaryota; Viridiplantae; Streptophyta; Magnoliopsida; Fabales; Fabaceae.